GACGAACGCUGGCGGCGUGCCUAACACAUGCAAGUCGAACGGGGUGAUUUUCUUCGGAGGAUCACUUAGUGGCGAACGGGUGAGUAACGCGUGAGAAACCUGCCUUUCAGUGGGGGACAACAGUUGGAAACGACUGCUAAUACCGCAUAAUGUCAUUUUGGGGCAUCCCUGAAUGACCAAAGCUUAAUGUGCUGAAAGAUGGUCUCGCGUCUGAUUAGCUAGUUGGUGAGGUAAUGGCUCACCAAGGCGACGAUCAGUAGCCGGUCUGAGAGGAUGAACGGCCACAUUGGGACUGAGAUACGGCCCAGACUCCUACGGGAGGCAGCAGUGGGGAAUAUUGGGCAAUGGGGGAAACCCUGACCCAGCAACGCCGCGUGAAGGAAGAAGGGCCUUCGGGUUGUAAACCGACUGUCCUUGGGUAAGAAACGAAAUAGACGGUACCCAAGAAGGAAGCACGGCUAACUACGUGCCAGCAGCCGCGG
Molecule: ribosomal RNA, 482 nt
Filed under: uncultured bacterium
Lineage: Bacteria
Description: bacterial SSU rRNA
Rfam family: Bacterial small subunit ribosomal RNA
Source: RNAcentral